UUACAGCAUCACACAUUGCUUGGUCAGGA
Molecule: non-coding RNA, 29 nt
Filed under: Rattus norvegicus (Norway rat)
Lineage: Eukaryota; Metazoa; Chordata; Mammalia; Rodentia; Muridae
Source: RNAcentral